Molecule: transfer RNA, 75 nt
Filed under: Gemmataceae bacterium
Lineage: Bacteria; Pseudomonadati; Planctomycetota; Planctomycetia; Gemmatales; Gemmataceae
Also listed under: 1 other name
Description: tRNA-Pro
Rfam family: tRNA
About the family: Transfer RNA (tRNA) molecules are approximately 80 nucleotides in length. Their secondary structure includes four short double-helical elements and three loops (D, anti-codon, and T loops).
Source: RNAcentral
CGGGCCGUGGCGCAGUUUGGCUAGCGCGCUUGAAUGGGGUUCAAGAGGUCGGAGGUUCGAAUCCUCUCGGCCCGA